This 253-nucleotide ribosomal RNA is filed under the name uncultured bacterium. RNAcentral describes it as "partial 16S ribosomal RNA". It matches the Rfam family "Bacterial small subunit ribosomal RNA", at positions 524 to 776 of the family's 1533-position model. The record is from RNAcentral.
UACAGAGGUCUCAAGCGUUGUUCGGAUUCAUUGGGCGUAAAGGGUGCGUAGGCGGCGCGGUAAGUCGGGUGUGAAAUCUCGGAGCUUAACUCCGAAACUGCAUUCGAUACUGCCGUGCUUGAGGACUGGAGAGGAGACUGGAAUUUACGGUGUAGCGGUGAAAUGCGCAGAUAUCAGGAGGAACACCGGUGGCGAAGGCGGGUCUCUGGGCCGUAACUGACGCUGAGGAGCGAAAGCGUGGGGAGCAAACAGG